This is a long non-coding RNA of Drosophila novamexicana, 426 nucleotides long. RefSeq lists it as uncharacterized. The record is from RefSeq and is a predicted model, not a curated record. Lineage: Eukaryota; Metazoa; Arthropoda; Insecta; Diptera; Drosophilidae. The transcript is spliced from 5 exons.
AUGAAAAUGUAAACAACAAAGAUCGGGCCCCGGUUCCGGACCCAGCGUACCCGCCCUACCAUGAGACGAUCACCUCCACUCGUCUCCCUCAUUUUGGCCACUAAAUGGCCUAUAUUAGCCCGUGUCGGCCAUACUGCCCACUCUCCCCAACAAUAUUAUUUUAGCCGGACAUGAUUUCUUUCAAUAGCUGUUUAGGAUCUCAAGCAAGCGGAUAAUUCAUUAACUUCACAGAAUUAAUUUUUUUAUUUUUUUACAACACUGAAUGGAACAGGCGACGAAAUACUACAAGGAUAUUGCUAGUCGCCGCAAAAGAAACGCGCAAGGAGGCACUUUAGAGGCAAUCGUUGCGCCGAUUUAGGAACAAUGGCCCACACAAUUACUUAAAACUGGAGCUCUCUGGGGGUGGUAAGGGGCGAUAUAAAUGCG